AGAGGUGCCAGGGCUGUCGCUGACCCCCCCUUUUCNAGGNNGUGCACGCCCGGGGCAUCCUCACACAAUCCCAUCACACACCCCCCUUUGUGCAUCAUCGCGUGGGCUCCUCUGGGUCGCUUCGAUCCAAGCGGGGCUUGCGCUUUUUACACAAACGUGCGGUAUAGAAUGUCCUAGCGAUUGUACGCAAUCAAUACAACUUUCAACAACGGAUCUCUUGGCUCUCGCAUCGAUGAAGAACGCAGCGAAAUGCGAUACGUAAUGUGAAUUGCAGAAUUCAGUGAAUCAUCGAAUCUUUGAACGCACCUUGCGCCCCUUGGCAUUCCGAGGGGCACACCCGUUUGAGUGUCGUGAAUUCCUCAACCUUCUGCUUUCCUUGAUAGCAGGAGGCUUGGACUUUGGAGGUUCUUGCCGGCCUCUCUUCAGAAGCCAGCUCCUCUUAAAUGAAUUAGCAGGGUCUGCCUUUGGCCGAUCCUCGACGUGAUAAGCUGCUUCUACGUCUUGGAUUUGGCUCUGCCUCUUUUUUGAGACCUGCUUCUAAUCGUCUCGGUCGCCCUUUCUUUGUCAGAAAGAGGGGGGGGNG
This 583-nucleotide ribosomal RNA is filed under the name uncultured fungus. RNAcentral's name for it is "eukaryotic LSU rRNA". The stretch from base 198 to 351 matches the Rfam family "5.8S ribosomal RNA". The record is from RNAcentral. Lineage: Eukaryota; Fungi.